This 253-nucleotide ribosomal RNA is filed under the name uncultured bacterium. Its description in RNAcentral is "partial 16S ribosomal RNA". It matches the Rfam family "Bacterial small subunit ribosomal RNA", at positions 524 to 776 of the family's 1533-position model. The record is from RNAcentral.
UACGUAGGCAGCAAGCGUUGUUCGGAGUUACUGGGCGUAAAGGGUGUGUAGGCGGUUCUUUAAGUUUGCUGUGAAAUCUCCCGGCUUAACCGGGAGGGUGCGGUGAAUACUGAGGGACUAGAGUACGGGAGAGGAAAGUGGAAUUCCUGGUGUAGCGGUGAAAUGCGUAGAUAUCAGGAGGAACACCAAUAGCGAAGGCAGCUCGCUGGGACGUUACUGACACUGAGGCGCGAAAGCGUGGGGAGCGAACAGG